GACAGUUUAGCUUAAUGGUAAAGCACUUGAUGCGUAAUCACAGGGAUGUGAGUUCGAGUCUCAUGGCUGGCC
Non-coding RNA from Octopus bimaculoides (California two-spot octopus), 72 nucleotides. The record is from Rfam. NCBI's taxonomy places the organism in Eukaryota, Metazoa, Mollusca, Cephalopoda, Octopoda, Octopodidae.